ACCGCCUCUCAAACUCAGCACGAAGCUCCCCGUAGGCCGUGCACCGAGUCAAGAUCAAGGCAUCGCCAGGGAACAAGGAUGCCCGACUGGAAGUUGACUCGGUACUCGCAGCAUGGCGGAGCGUGGAUAUGAUAAUGUUUCCUGCGUGUGUCUUUGUGAUCGAGGACAAGGGAGGAAUGAAGAGAGAGAAGAGAGUAUAUGCGUGUCUCUGUUGUGUUAGAGCAGCUCUGUGUGGCCUACUAAGGCUCUCACAUACGUAAGGUACGUAAGUACGCAAGUCCCAGCGAAGAGUAGGGCCCAGGGCCGCCAACUCUGACAUUCUUCCUCGAGGGCGUACACCAGAGUUCAUUGUCAUUGUCAUUGUCAGUAUGAAUGACAGCAUCACGAAACCAAGUUCAUCGAUCCAGUUCUAAAAGGUAUAUGAAAUAAAGAAGAUUCGGAGAUCAAUGAGAAGAUUACAGGGAAUUUUUAUCAUGAGAGUCUACAUGGGAUUCAGGAAGGAAGAACUGGACCCCCAUGAAGACUGCCGGCCCUGUUGAUUAUUUAAAUGUAAAACACAGCUAUGGGGGUAUACAUAUACCUUGUCCAGUCCGAGGAUCCCAUACGUGGUACUGCUACACGGAGAGCCUCGCGUGUUGCAUGGUCCCACCGCAGUACGUGGAUGUCGGUCCCAGUCGGGCCCCUCGUAGGCAGAGCUCGAACUCGGUACCCCAGGCAUACAUACUGCAAGUACGAUCAGCUUGGGACUCACGACUUACAGUCCCAUACAGGGAGACACCAGGAUACUUAUACCAUGGAUUCUUUUUAUUCUUCAUAAAACUUACCCGUGAGUCCCAUAACAGAUUAAAUGAACAAAAAUGUCAGUGCUUCUACUACUCUUUGAAUUUGAUUCGACUGCGUCAUCGGCCGGAGACACUCCUGGCAAAUUUUUGGAUAGAUUCCCAUAAAGUUUUCACCGUGUGCGAGUUAUGAUGCCAAGAGAAAUCGAACUUGAUCAUUAAGCCGGCCGCGACGGCCAUUCGGCCCAUUAGCCGCGUUCACGGCUGUCGAGCGGCCGUAAGGAGUUUACGGCUCACUUACGGAUUCACAUUGCUCGAUAGAGACAAAGAUAAAUGAUAAGGACUUUUAUUAUUGUUCGAUCAAUCUAAAGCAAACAGUAACUGUUGUAUACCUAAACUUUAUACAAUUGUUGGAUGUAAUUUUUCUAGUGAAAUUGGGCCCGAUGGUUACCUUGAUCCUUGAAACGAUUUCUCACACGGUUUGAAAUGUCACUGUAAGACCCACUAUUGAAUGUCACUAGUCCAACGUAUAUCUUACUCGUCCAAAUCCUGAGUUUAAUGUCAUCUCUCAAGCGCAAUUGAUUAAUUCUUAAUAUCUACCGUUACUAAUUAUUCCUCUAUACUUACUAUAUAAGAAUCCUACAAUUGGUAACACUGGAGAAAUCUAUGCUGGAACCUGAUAGGAGUUUCAUGCACGACAUACAUCGCUCACAGCUAGAUAUACCGCUAGUAACUAUUCGCUAGGACAGUUUUCCAUAUGUAUAAAAUCAUUUAUAGAGAUUCACCUUUACACGCAUGACACGUGUUAUAGAUUAAUGAAGUUACCAAAAAUAUUCUAUAUUAAUAUUACUGUCUGUCAAUGUAAAUGAACGGAAUGUCAAUUGCAGAGGUUUUUUGUCAAAUUUUCUUUUCUAAGAUUUGUGCUUUCGGACUCUCUUGAAUUAUUUACACCGACCAAUCUCUUUCUCGUUAUCCAAUGUUUUAUGUAUGUUUCCAUAGCAUCUAUCUCGCGUCGCAAAUUUUCCUCGACUUUGCGAAUCCAGUCGUUCGCAAGAAGAUGGAAUCUUUUGACACGAUCUACUUGCUGGAAGAUUGCGUUAAAGACGAGCGAUAUUCGGAGAGCGAUGGGAACUUUACCACGGGAAUGAAAAAUCUUCUGUAUCAGUAUAUAUAUA
This is a long non-coding RNA of Cephus cinctus (wheat stem sawfly), 1954 nucleotides long. RefSeq lists it as uncharacterized. The transcript has 5 exons. Lineage: Eukaryota; Metazoa; Arthropoda; Insecta; Hymenoptera; Cephidae. The record is from RefSeq and is a predicted model, not a curated record.